This is a non-coding RNA of Actinoalloteichus hoggarensis, 75 nucleotides long. It matches the Rfam family "ASpks TB sRNA". The record is from Rfam. Lineage: Bacteria; Bacillati; Actinomycetota; Actinomycetes; Pseudonocardiales; Pseudonocardiaceae.
CUUCACCGACCCCAACCACAACGGCCGACCCUCGACACGAUCCCGGCCAUAGGUCGCCAACAACGCCUGCGCCUC